AUUGAACGCUGGCGGCAUGCCUUACACAUGCAAGUCGAACGGUAACAGGUCUUCGGAUGCUGACGAGUGGCGAACGGGUGAGUAAUACAUCGGAACGUGCCCAGACGUGGGGGAUAACGAGGCGAAAGCUUUGCUAAUACCGCAUACGAUCUAAGGAUGAAAGCAGGGGACCGCAAGGCCUUGUGCGUUUGGAGCGGCCGAUGGCAGAUUAGGUAGUUGGUGGGAUAAAAGCUUACCAAGCCGACGAUCUGUAGCUGGUCUGAGAGGACGACCAGCCACACUGGGACUGAGACACGGCCCAGACUCCUACGGGAGGCAGCAGUGGGGAAUUUUGGACAAUGGGCGAAAGCCUGAUCUAGCAAUGCCGCGUGCAGGAUGAAGGCCUUCGGGUUGUAAACUGCUUUUGUACGGAACGAAAAGGCUCUGGCUAAUACCUGGGGCACAUGACGGUACCGUAAGAAUAAGCACCGGCUAACUACGUG
Molecule: ribosomal RNA, 482 nt
Filed under: uncultured bacterium
Lineage: Bacteria
Description: partial 16S ribosomal RNA
Rfam family: Bacterial small subunit ribosomal RNA
Source: RNAcentral